This 71-nucleotide transfer RNA is filed under the name Phrynosoma platyrhinos (Desert horned lizard). RNAcentral describes it as "tRNA-OTHER". The record is from RNAcentral. Lineage: Eukaryota; Metazoa; Chordata; Lepidosauria; Squamata; Phrynosomatidae.
GCCAGCAUAACAUAGUGGUUUGAGUGUUGGGCUAUAGCUCUGGAGACCAGGGUUUGAUUCCCUGCUUGGCC